Molecule: long non-coding RNA, 710 nt
Organism: Dryobates pubescens (Downy woodpecker)
Lineage: Eukaryota; Metazoa; Chordata; Aves; Piciformes; Picidae
Exons: 3
Source: RefSeq, a predicted model, not a curated record
UUGACCUGAUAAUCACAGCCAGACAAAUACAGUUACUGGAUUUAAAAAAAAUACUCUUUCUUUGUUAAUUAUUGUAACUAAUGGUAUAACUGUACUCCAGUAACUCAAAUUACUCAAGCACAGCUCUGGAAGAUCCCCUCUGUCUGCACUUUGGGAAUUUGCCACACUUAGUGCUUACACAGGACAGAGGUAUUCUGGUCAAAUGGUCACUAGUAAAAGGCUAGUUACUUUACUUCCCUGCCUGCUAAUGAAAGCAAAUGUGUAGUACAAUUUCCUCCUUUGUUUUCCUUCUAGAAAACUUCCAAUGUAAUAAUUUUCCAGUCGCAUAUUCUGCUGAAAAUACCAAGUCACUCCUCUGAACUGAGAUGAGCUUCACCUUUGCUGCAGAGAGAGGAAAGACAAGUUGAAGCACCCUGCUGAACAUUGCCAGGCUUGCAUGAGUUUAUGGAGAAGGGCAGAUGCCUUUUGGACAUGAUGGUUUCUUCACAUUUGGCAUAGCUGUUACAUGAGACGUUGCUAAUUGGAGCAUUUACCAUGCAUUCAAGAGAGAGCGGAGGCUAUGGAGCUGACUGUCACCAUGCAAGUGUAAAAUACAGGUUGCAUUUGGUAUCCUGUACAAUGACCAGCACUGAUGGCACUGCAUCCAGAGGCUGGAAAGCUCAGUGGCCAGGAAACAGCCAUCUGAGGAAAUGCUGUGUGGCUGAUAGAAG